AUGCACGCUGGCGGCGUGCCUAAUACAUGCACGUCGAACGCUGGAGAUCUAGCUUGCUAGAUCGAAGGAGUGGCGAACGGGUGAGUAAUACAUAAGCAACCUACCCACGAAGACUGGGAUAAUCUCUGGAAACGGGGACUAAUACCGGAUAGGUAAUCGGAAGGCAUCUUCUGGUUAUUAAAGGUUAAAAACACUGGUGGAUGGGCUUAUGGCGCAUUAGUUAGUUGGUGAGGUAACGGCCCACCAAGACGAUGAUGCGUAGCCGGCCUGAGAGGGUGAACGGCCACAUUGGGACUGAGACACGGCCCAGACUCCUACGGGAGGCAGCAGUAGGGAAUUUUCGGCAAUGGGGGCAACCCUGACCGAGCAACGCCGCGUGAGUGAAGACGGCCUUCGGGUUGUAAAGCUCUGUUGUAAGGGAAGAACGGUAGAUAGAGAAUAUCUAAGUGACGGUACCUUACCAGAAAGCCACGGCUAACUACGUG
RNAcentral lists this ribosomal RNA (485 nucleotides) under uncultured bacterium. RNAcentral's name for it is "partial 16S ribosomal RNA". It matches the Rfam family "Bacterial small subunit ribosomal RNA", at positions 29 to 507 of the family's 1533-position model. The record is from RNAcentral.